Molecule: ribosomal RNA, 708 nt
Filed under: Rathayibacter sp. 114ND3
Lineage: Bacteria; Bacillati; Actinomycetota; Actinomycetes; Micrococcales; Microbacteriaceae
Description: bacterial SSU rRNA
Rfam family: Bacterial small subunit ribosomal RNA
Source: RNAcentral
CUCGGGUCGUCGGGUCGGAAUGUUUUUCGGUCAAACGAUGGACUCGCGGCCUAUCAGCUUGUUGGUGAGGUAAUGGCUCACCAAGGCGACGACGGGUAGCCGGCCUGAGAGGGUGACCGGCCACACUGGGACUGAGACACGGCCCAGACUCCUACGGGAGGCAGCAGUGGGGAAUAUUGCACAAUGGGCGAAAGCCUGAUGCAGCAACGCCGCGUGGGGGAUGACGGCCUUCGGGUUGUAAACCUCUUUUAGUACGGAAGAACGGCUUCGGCUUGACGGUACCUGCAGAAAAAAGCACCGAGCUAACUACCUGCCAAUCAGCCCGCGGUAAUACUGUACGGUGCAAGCGUUUGUCCGGAAUUAUUGGGCGUAAACAGCUCGUUAAGCGGUUUGUCGCUCUCUGCUGUCAAAACCCCGAGGCUCCAACCUCGAGCCCUGCCAGCGGGGUACAGGCAGAACUACACUGCCGGUAGGGGAACAAUGGCAUUUCCUCGGUGUUAGCCGUGGGAAUUGCCCCAGAUAUCAAGAAGGAUCCCCGAUUGGCCAAAUGGGAAGUUCUCUGGGGCCGUUACCUGCCCCUGAGGAAGCGAAACCUUGGGGACGCAACAGCGAUUAAAAUCCCCCGGCUAACUUCCCGCCAUAAACCCUUGGGAACCAAUUGUGGCGGACCCUUCUCCCCGAUUCCAUGGUCCAAACCAACCCAUUAAG